GAUGAACGCUAGCGAUAGGCUUAACACAUGCAAGUCGAGGGGCAGCAUGGUCUUAGCUUGCUAAGGCUGAUGGCGACCGGCGCACGGGUGCGUAACGCGUAUGCAACUUGCCUCACAGAGGGGGAUAACCCGUCGAAAGACGGACUAAUACCGCGUACACUCUAUGUUGGGCAUCCAAUGUAGAGGAAAUGAAAUUCGCUGUGAGAUAGGCAUGCGUCCCAUUAGCUAGUUGGUGAGGUAACGGCUCACCAAGGCGACGAUGGGUAGGGGAACUGAGAGGUUGAACCCCCACACUGGUACUGAGACACGGACCAGACUCCUACGGGAGGCAGCAGUGAGGAAUAUUGGUCAAUGGGCGAGAGCCUGAACCAGCCAAGUCGCGUGAAGGAUGACUGUCUUAUGGAUUGUAAACUUCUUUUAUACGGGAAUAACAAGAGUCACGUGUGGCUCCCUGCAUGUACCGCAUGAAUAAGCAUCGGCUAACUCCGUG
Molecule: ribosomal RNA, 490 nt
Filed under: uncultured bacterium
Lineage: Bacteria
Description: partial 16S ribosomal RNA
Rfam family: Bacterial small subunit ribosomal RNA
Source: RNAcentral